This is a non-coding RNA of Pseudonaja textilis, 780 nucleotides long. NCBI's taxonomy places the organism in Eukaryota, Metazoa, Chordata, Lepidosauria, Squamata, Elapidae. The record is from RefSeq and is a predicted model, not a curated record.
AAACAGUGGCCAUGAGCUCACCUCUCUUUUUCCUCUUCAUUGGUCAUUUACUUAUUCCUGUGGAGUGUAUUUGUAUCCUUUCUCAGAAAGACAGGAAGGAUGAAGUAUGCAGAGAUGCUCAUUUCUUUCUACUCUUCCUCCAAUGAGAGGUAAUCAGGCAGAAGCAGCAAAGAAGCAGUGAGAACAUUAAGGUGCAAGACGAAUGAUGCUGAGAAAGUAGCUCAAGACUGAGAUUUGCUAUUACUACAGUAUCACCCAGACUGUAUCACUAAAAAGUAGUGACUGACCAAGUUAAAGGCUGCCUAACCAUUACACAUUAUGGUUUGUCAGAUUCUUGACAAUCUAGCAUAUGUGUUGCUAGAAUAUUCAAAGUAUAGCCAGAUAAAAGUUGCCUGCACCUCAGACUUGUCCUUCAAAAAUAAAAUCUAACCCUACAAUCUGGCAAAACUUCCCUCAACAGACUUGAACAAUGACUAAUUUAGGUCCUUGUGAAUUCCUUGGUAUUUUCUAAAAAGAGAAGCCUUUCUCAGGAAAGUGCCCUACAGCUGCAACUCCAAUAAUUUCUAGUCAUCAUGCCAGGUUUGGUGGGAGUUGCUGCCAAAUUGGGGAAGACUGCUUUGGGCAGCCACUACUGCCAUGCAAUUCCAUGAGUAGGCUAAUAUAAGGCAGUGGAACUGCUCAGAGUUCUUUAAUAUAUAUAUAUAUAUAUUUCUACCUAGAAAUCAUUGGGAAUCAAGAAUGUAUAUAUGACCAUACAGGAAAGUGGGGAUUUCAUUACAA